AUUAAGAGUAAGUGGUCCACAUAGAAGCCAUCCUUAGACAUUUUAAUGGAAAGGCUAAAAUAAGACACUGAAUAAGGUGGUUGGCCUUCCAUAUUACCAAAUAUACAAGAUGCAUAGGAAACUUGGUGUUUUUACAUACUGAAAGUAUAAACUAUGGGCACUAACAGUAUAUUUUAAUUUUCACUAAGACUUCUGUUCUGUUGUCCUUUUCAGUAUCUCUUAGGACACUCUUCUGUUCUGUUGUCCUUUUCAGUAUCUCUUAGGACAAGUAUCUCUUGUCCUAAGAGAUACUGCCUUCCAAGUUAGACUACAAGGGCCAUGCAAGGAAGGACUAUCCUUGCUUGGUUCACUGUAGUAGCUCCCUACCCAGCACAGGGUGGGGACUGGCUAGGAGUCUAAAUGAAGAAGCCCUCAGUGGAGGAACAGAACAUGACUCGUACCUUGGUUCAGUAAAAGCCAAAUCGCUCAAUUUUUGCAUAAAACAAUUUCAAAGGAAGGGACUGAAUCACUACUCACCCACACACUCAUUCCCUUCCAGAAUAUAACCAAAAGGACACUCGCAUCGAUAGGAGCCGUCUGUGUUAAUGCACUGCCCAUGUCUACAGACAUCAGGUUCUUUGCAUUCGUCCAUAUCUUAAGUGGAGAAAGAAAAAACAAUAAAAAACCAAGGUAUUUUUCUUAAACUAUUGUCAUGUCAGUUUUCAGUAAGUGAAUAUCUAAUAUCACAAUACAACUAAAAUCCACAUGAUAAGACGUCAAAUAGAAGAGAUUAUUUCUCCCAGGUAGAUAAGGAGAAAUAAGACCCAGAGGAAGGACAAAGAGGCAGGGAAGACCUAGCUGGGCACUCACCAACUGCUGAGUCAUCAGGGCCCACAAUGAUCCCACUUCCAAAGGGGCAGAUCUGGCGGAAAGCCUCUGUAGUGGAGAGAUAGACUCAUUAGUGGGCAGAUCAGAGACAAUGACAGCCUUCCCACGCCCCCAUCCACUGUGUGGCUGUGGCCACGUGCUGCACACAGUGAGAGAUGCCCAGAAAUAAGGAGACAUCACCAAGAUUCUCAACGACGUGCCUGCUCUUUGGAUGACUCUGAUUUACAACAUUAUUAAAAGAGAAAAUAACUACCAUGCUCCUCUGGUAAAAUAUGUUUAAAUGGCAUUCAAGUUACACUUAGAAUUUGAUGACUCUACUGACUGUAAGGCUUACACUGUUCAUGGUUCCAUGGUCAUAUGUACACGAGAUCAUGCGAUGAGAAACAGAGAUGUUAGACUUACCAUCUGGCUCAGUGGGGCACAACUCACAAGGAUCUCCCCAGCCUUCUCCCUUCAAAGCACAGCAGCACUCCUGCUUGGAAUGGUUUCUGGAUUUGGGUGAUGAACACUUCCCACCUUCAAACUUCGCAUAGCAGUAGCUCAUUCGCAAAUCUACAACAUAAAUCCACAGUACAUUCUAGUCGCUUUCCUACUGAAUCCUCAUUGUCUGAUAGUAGAUCAAUGCGUUCCCUCAUUAACUAGAACAAUAUUCCAAAAGCAAUUGGAAGCAUGAAAGAGCUGAGACUGCUGAAGUCACAGACAGCUGGCAAGAUAGGAGGAACAGACUCAGGUUGCUUUAUCUUUUUCCUUCAGUUUACCUGCUACUUCAAAGCAACCUGAUAGGAAUAGUAAACUCCAAACUUUCCAGCCUUAAUAGACUUCCACUAACAAUGCCAGGAUUGGAACAUCCCCAGAUAGAGUCAUUCAGGAAGAAACGCCCGUAUGAUGGCUUCUCUUGUGUGGGUUUUGUACAACUUUCAGCAAGCAGACUAAGACAGGAGAGCCUCCUGGUUCUAAGACAUACCGUCAUUCUGUGUCCUAUAUACUCUGGGACCAAAGACAACCCCACACCACUACAUAGGACAAAUGAAGGAGUGGUAAGUGUAUGGACUAGUCAACUGAGCCACCAGGGGCAUUCCCUGAAGUAGCUAUGCAUGGAAUUGUGGGGACAAACUUCAAGUGGGAUUUUCUGCAGACUUUAUACUCAUGCACACACAGCUACAGCAAAUUAAGUUUCCAACGAGUCUGUUCAGUGCAAUAGAAAGAGGAAGCAAAAAGAAGACGGAAGGCAGGGCUAUGGUGGGUGUAAGCAAAAUAACCCUUCUUUCAAAGAAUAUAUGUAUUUCUUUAUAUUCAUUAUUGCUCUGGAAACUCCAAGGAAAAGGUGAUAUCUCUCUUAUAAAAUGCUCCAGUGUUGCUUGACAUAAUUUUGGAAGCCAACUGUUCCCAUCCUUAUGGAGCAGAGUGGGUGACUCUGAGAAGUGAGCUAAUGUAGGGUCUGGAAUGUGUUUUUUCAAACCUGACUUCCAGAGCCAGGCAUUACGUCUCCUUCAUUACCCUGUGGCUAAGCUCUGCAGAGCUGAGGACUUGAUUCCACUUCCGCUUUGUACCCUUCCUGCUUCCUGGGUUCUGACUACCUCUGACUUCUGCAUUCUCUACUCUCAGUUUUCCAGUCCAGAAAGCACACUCCCACAGCAGUGCUUGCCACCCAAAUAUUUACUCUGUGGAGAAAUGCCAAGACUUAAGUAAUUCUCAUUUCUUGGGUGACAUCUUUUUUUUUCAUUUGCUUUAUUCUUCAAGUUCUUUGUCCCAUCCAUUGUUUUGCAUAAACAGAGUUGUUUUUUACCACUUAUUCCUACAGCCAUCCUUAAACUGCUGACCUUACUCUCGAUCCAGUUCAAUGUUCAAUCUUCCCCACACUACUCUCUACACC
Molecule: long non-coding RNA, 2740 nt
Filed under: Mus musculus (house mouse)
Lineage: Eukaryota; Metazoa; Chordata; Mammalia; Rodentia; Muridae
Description: long non-coding RNA chr2:125320346-125323086
Source: RNAcentral